CCUACGGGCGGCUGCAGUGGGGAAUAUUGGACAAUGGGGGGAACCCUGAUCCAGCCAUGCGGCGGGUGUGAAGAAGGCCCUCGGGUGGUAAAGCACUUUCAGUGAGGAAGAACGCCUGGUGGUUAAUACCCAUCAGGAAAGACAUCACUCACAGAAGAAGCCCCGGCUAACUCCGUGCCAGCAGCCGCGGUAAUACGGAGGGUGCGAGCGUUAAUCGGAAUUACUGGGCGUAAAGCGCGCGUAGGUGGCUUGAUAAGCCGGUUGUGAAAGCCCCGGGCUCAACCUGGGAACGGCAUCCGGAACUGUCAAGCUAGAGUGCAGGAGAGGAAGGUAGAAUUCCCGGUGUAGCGGUGAAAUGCGUAGAGAUCGGGAGGAAUACCAGUGGCGAAGGCGGCCUUCUGGACUGACACUGACACUGAGGUGCGAAAGCGUGGGUAGCAAACAGGAUUAGAUACCCGGGUAGUC
This 465-nucleotide ribosomal RNA is filed under the name Vreelandella stevensii. RNAcentral describes it as "partial 16S ribosomal RNA". It matches the Rfam family "Bacterial small subunit ribosomal RNA", at positions 338 to 795 of the family's 1533-position model. Lineage: Bacteria; Pseudomonadati; Pseudomonadota; Gammaproteobacteria; Oceanospirillales; Halomonadaceae. The record is from RNAcentral.